GGCGAGAGAAGCAGCAGCAGCAGCAGCAGCAGCAGCAGAGGGGCCCCAGGCGGUCCCUGUACCCCAGUUUGGGCAGCAGUGGUCCCAGGACACCGGAAACACAUGCCACGGUGAAGUGUGAGAGCAUUGUAAACAAAAGUGAAUAUUGAGCUAGCCUGGGAAGAGGGAAUGCCGUGUGGGAAGCUUUGACUCGACACUCCAGGAUGUUGUGUGAAGUCCUGCUCUCAUCGCUAUGGUUCCUGUUUGUCAUCUUCUGGGUCGAGAUAAUAUGUGUGUGGCUGUUUCUGUGCAUCUUCUAUCAGGACCGAGCGCUCUACCACUGGGGAGAUGGGGUAUUUGCAGAUGAUCCUGGUCAGAUGCUCUACAUGUUGAGCAGAGUUGAUAACAGCAUACAAAGACAGAUGCAGACCUGAGACAGAUGAAAACUCAGGACUCCACAGCAAGAUUUUUUUUUUUUUUUUUUGGUUGUUGGAGUUGUGUGUCUCCUGAUAAUGAAAAUGAGUAGCUGUAUUUCCUUUGCACUGACUGCUGUGCACAUUGUAGUGCACGGUCCUUUGUCAACAUAAUUAACUAUAAGCCCACUUUUAAUGAUAGGUGGGUGGAGGUUUGCAGCACCAGUGAAGGAGAAACGAAGACCUAGGGGGAGGUUCUCAGUGAAUAUGAAACACUUACCUUUUCACUUCAGAUGUUUGUGAAGGAAGACAAGUGUGACUGGAAAUGUUUGGAUAGCAAAUGAUGGAUUGAAUGCAUUUUUUAUCAUUACUCUGAAUUCCAUAUAGAGACUUGCAUAUAAAUGACAUUUUGUUCUUACUGCCAUUCUGUUAAACCACAGUUGUUGCUGCUUGCAGCUAUAUUUGUGUUUUGAAUAUAAAUUGCAACAAAGUUGGUAUUGGUUAGGCCCAAGAAUAUUCUAACCAGUUAUCAGAUUUUUCUGGUGAAUGUUUGAUGUCAUGAUCUUUUAACAAGGAACUAUUUGUGAAUAUGGGAAGUGAGGGAGCUAUGUCCUUGGGUUUGCAUUAAAGUGUGGGAUAGAUCAAGGGUUCACUUUUUUUUUUCAUUCAUUUUCAUUUAGUUGUACAUUACUGUCUAGAAACAGGUGGAAAAUGUUGGGGAGAGUGAACCUUAUGAUACAGAUACUAUGGCAACACAAUUUGUGUCUGCUCUAAUCAGUUCAAAUCAAAUAAUGGUGACAUUAUAGUAAAACAUUUAACACUGAGAACACAGUGAGCACUGUGGUCUGCCUUGACAAUGAUGUGUCCCUGCUUGCUCCAUGAAAUUGACUCGGUUUUGAACAAAACAAACUGAUGCGGCUGGGCUCAAUUUGUAUCUGAGAGGAAGUGUGUGUACGCUGUUUUUGUAUUCAUUUCAAUGCUGAAUAAAAGCAAGUAUUUUGCCUAAAUAAACUAGACGCUGCACA
Long non-coding RNA from Myripristis murdjan (pinecone soldierfish), 1417 nucleotides. RefSeq lists it as uncharacterized. The record is from RefSeq and is a predicted model, not a curated record. The transcript is spliced from 4 exons. NCBI's taxonomy places the organism in Eukaryota, Metazoa, Chordata, Actinopteri, Holocentriformes, Holocentridae.